Molecule: unclassified non-coding RNA, 300 nt
Organism: Myotis lucifugus (little brown bat)
Lineage: Eukaryota; Metazoa; Chordata; Mammalia; Chiroptera; Vespertilionidae
Gene: 7SK
Rfam family: 7SK RNA
About the family: 7SK was discovered as an abundant small nuclear RNA in the mid-70s but a possible function has only recently been suggested. Two independent studies have found that 7SK RNA binds the CDK9/cyclin T complex (known as elongation factor P-TEFb).
Source: Ensembl
GGAUGUGAGGGCGAUCUGGCUGCGACAUCUGUCACCCCAUUGAUCGCCAGGGUUGAUUCGGCUGAUCUGGCUGGCUAGGCGGGUGUCCCCCUCCUCCCUCACCGAUCCAUGUGCAUCCCUCCCGAAGCUGCGCGCUCGGUCGAAGAGGACGACCUUCCCCCCCGAGGAGAGGACCGGUCUUCGGUCAAGGGUAUACGAGUAGCUGCGCUCCCCUGCUAGAACCUCCAAACAAGCUCUCAUAAAUAAAAGCCUUGGUAGACUACCAGGUAUCACACACGGGAAAGGUCAUUGCUGUGGCUU